CCAGGAGGGACAGCGACACAUCUGUUGCCCCCACUGGGGAGCUUGGGUCUUGUUAUGAACUCCGAAAGAGAAGAGCAUCACCAGCACUUGUGAGCCACAAGCCCCCACUCAGAUCCCUUACGGCCGUGUCUCAGCAGCCACAUAAAGUGUGGGGUUGGCAUGAACCCCUAACUGCAGGUUGCUCUGCUAAGCUGUUAUUUAUAGUUUGAACCACCCUGUGGUAGGAGUAGAUAUUUGUCUGUUUCCAGUGGGAGGUAAUUAGCACAGCCAGCUACUUCUCUGCUGACUUCCUUUGAGAAACUCCCCAAGGUGAGAAAUGUCUCCUGUGUCCCGUCCUUGUUGGUGUCUGCUGUGCUGCCUCAAGGGGUUGCAGCAAGGAGAUGCCUUCACGAAGCCCUGGUCCUAGCCUCUGCUGUGGAUGAAAGUCAUGGACACGGGGAACCUGUGCUCACCUUCAGAGUCGGGGCAGCAGCUCAGCCCAGAGGUGGAGCUGGGCUGUGAAGCCUCCUGGCAGGGACUCUAAUCCCUUGCUGUUGGCUGUCCUGGUUCUGUGUCACACAGAUGGCCACAGUAAACCCAGAGUGACCAGCUCAUGGACAGUGUCAGACCUCGACGUCGGGCCUAAUUAUGGCUCCUCGCGGCCCUCUGCAAGCCCAUUUGUAAACCGUAUGUUGGCUGACAAGCUUAGUGGGAAGCUGCGUCCUCUUUAAUAUGUACAAAAUCACCUGUCACUUGUUUUUCCAAACUGACAAAGGUCUGCUCAUCACAUCUAGAUUUGAAAAAGAUGCCACACAAACGUAAUUUGUCCCUUUCUUCAACAGACAGGUAUGGAGUCUGGGUGGGGCCACGUGUACCCUCCCAUCCUUAGAAAGAGUGUGACACCAAGGGACAGAUGCUGGCGUAGCGCGGGUUUUGUUUUGGAGGGUUUUUUGUUUGUUUUUACAAAAUUAAGAUAUUUCUGAGUUUAUUAUGAGGCUUUUAGUUUUACAAUCAUACUAAAAGAUAAUUGUUCCUCUAUAAAAUGAUUUUCCUUCUGUACCUCUUGCCUUCUUCUGAAGAAAGGAGAAAAUUGCUUUUU
This 1078-nucleotide long non-coding RNA is filed under the name Homo sapiens (human). RNAcentral describes it as "HSALNT0216527". The record is from RNAcentral. Lineage: Eukaryota; Metazoa; Chordata; Mammalia; Primates; Hominidae.